RNAcentral lists this long non-coding RNA (312 nucleotides) under Hordeum vulgare. Its description in RNAcentral is "long non-coding RNA (HVUL_LNC015582)". The record is from RNAcentral. Lineage: Eukaryota; Viridiplantae; Streptophyta; Magnoliopsida; Poales; Poaceae.
UCUUGAUACAGGAAUUAUAAUAAUAACUAUAUUUAUUAUUGCCUCUAGGGCAUAAUUCCAACACAAUUCACGGACGAAUUCGGUUUCAAAAAACUGUGUAAGGGGCUACAAAGUUCCCUCUCUUCUUAGGCCAACCCCUCUACACACCACACCUAGCCCACCUAGCCACAUCCCGCGACCGGAGUCAUCCGAUCGUGAUCGGAGGGUGAUAAAAUGGGUCAAAACCACUAACCCUAGCCCCAUUUGCUAUAAAUAGACCCCUAGCCCUCUAUGCAUCGUUUUUCGUGUGCAGCCACUCCCCAAUCGGCAGCC